GGGUUGUGAGGUUAAGCGACUAAGCGUACACGGUGGAUGCCCUGGCAGUCAGAGGCGAUGAAGGACGUGCUAAUCUGCGAUAAGCGUCGGUAAGGUGAUAUGAACCGUUAUAACCGGCGAUUUCCGAAUGGGGAAACCCAGUGUGAUUCGUCACACUAUCAUUAACUGAAUCCAUAGGUUAAUGAGGCGAACCGGGGGAACUGAAACAUCUAAGUACCCCGAGGAAAAGAAAUCAACCGAGAUUCCCCCAGUAGCGGCGAGCGAACGGGGAGCAGCCCAGAGCCUGAAUCAGUGUGUGUGUUAGUGGAAGCGUCUGGAAAGGCGCGCGAUACAGGGUGACAGCCCCGUACACAAAAAUGCACAUACUGUGAGCUCGAUGAGUAGGGCGGGACACGUGGUAUCCUGUCUGAAUAUGGGGGGACCAUCCUCCAAGGCUAAAUACUCCUGACUGACCGAUAGUGAACCAGUACCGUGAGGGAAAGGCGAAAAGAACCCCGGCGAGGGGAGUGAAAAAGAACCUGAAACCGUGUACGUACAAGCAGUGGGAGCACGCUUAGGCGUGUGACUGCGUACCUUUUGUAUAAUGGGUCAGCGACUUAUAUUCUGUAGCAAGGUUAACCGAAUAGGGGAGCCGAAGGGAAACCGAGUCUUAACUGGGCGUUAAGUUGCAGGGUAUAGACCCGAAACCCGGUGAUCUAGCCAUGGGCAGGUUGAAGGUUGGGUAACACUAACUGGAGGACCGAACCGACUAAUGUUGAAAAAUUAGCGGAUGACUUGUGGCUGGGGGUGAAAGGCCAAUCAAACCGGGAGAUAGCUGGUUCUCCCCGAAAGCUAUUUAGGUAGCGCCUCGUGAAUUCAUCUCCGGGGGUAGAGCACUGUUUCGGCAAGGGGGUCAUCCCGACUUACCAACCCGAUGCAAACUGCGAAUACCGGAGAAUGUUAUCACGGGAGACACACGGCGGGUGCUAACGUCCGUCGUGAAGAGGGAAACAACCCAGACCGCCAGCUAAGGUCCCAAAGUCAUGGUUAAGUGGGAAACGAUGUGGGAAGGCCCAGACAGCCAGGAUGUUGGCUUAGAAGCAGCCAUCAUUUAAAGAAAGCGUAAUAGCUCACUGGUCGAGUCGGCCUGCGCGGAAGAUGUAACGGGGCUAAACCAUGCACCGAAGCUGCGGCAGCGACGCUUAUGCGUUGUUGGGUAGGGGAGCGUUCUGUAAGCCUGUGAAGGUGUGCUGUGAGGCAUGCUGGAGGUAUCAGAAGUGCGAAUGCUGACAUAAGUAACGAUAAAGCGGGUGAAAAGCCCGCUCGCCGGAAGACCAAGGGUUCCUGUCCAACGUUAAUCGGGGCAGGGUGAGUCGACCCCUAAGGCGAGGCCGAAAGGCGUAGUCGAUGGGAAACAGGUUAAUAUUCCUGUACUUGGUGUUACUGCGAAGGGGGGACGGAGAAGGCUAUGUUGGCCGGGCGACGGUUGUCCCGGUUUAAGCGUGUAGGCUGGUUUUCCAGGCAAAUCCGGAAAAUCAAGGCUGAGGCGUGAUGACGAGGCACUACGGUGCUGAAGCAACAAAUGCCCUGCUUCCAGGAAAAGCCUCUAAGCAUCAGGUAACAUCAAAUCGUACCCCAAACCGACACAGGUGGUCAGGUAGAGAAUACCAAGGCGCUUGAGAGAACUCGGGUGAAGGAACUAGGCAAAAUGGUGCCGUAACUUCGGGAGAAGGCACGCUGAUAUGUAGGUGAAGUCCCUCGCGGAUGGAGCUGAAAUCAGUCGAAGAUACCAGCUGGCUGCAACUGUUUAUUAAAAACACAGCACUGUGCAAACACGAAAGUGGACGUAUACGGUGUGACGCCUGCCCGGUGCCGGAAGGUUAAUUGAUGGGGUCAGCGCAAGCGAAGCUCUUGAUCGAAGCCCCGGUAAACGGCGGCCGUAACUAUAACGGUCCUAAGGUAGCGAAAUUCCUUGUCGGGUAAGUUCCGACCUGCACGAAUGGCGUAAUGAUGGCCAGGCUGUCUCCACCCGAGACUCAGUGAAAUUGAACUCGCUGUGAAGAUGCAGUGUACCCGCGGCAAGACGGAAAGACCCCGUGAACCUUUACUAUAGCUUGACACUGAACAUUGAGCCUUGAUGUGUAGGAUAGGUGGGAGGCUUUGAAGUGUGGACGCCAGUCUGCAUGGAGCCGACCUUGAAAUACCACCCUUUAAUGUUUGAUGUUCUAACGUUGACCCGUAAUCCGGGUUGCGGACAGUGUCUGGUGGGUAGUUUGACUGGGGCGGUCUCCUCCUAAAGAGUAACGGAGGAGCACGAAGGUUGGCUAAUCCUGGUCGGACAUCAGGAGGUUAGUGCAAUGGCAUAAGCCAGCUUGACUGCGAGCGUGACGGCGCGAGCAGGUGCGAAAGCAGGUCAUAGUGAUCCGGUGGUUCUGAAUGGAAGGGCCAUCGCUCAACGGAUAAAAGGUACUCCGGGGAUAACAGGCUGAUACCGCCCAAGAGUUCAUAUCGACGGCGGUGUUUGGCACCUCGAUGUCGGCUCAUCACAUCCUGGGGCUGAAGUAGGUCCCAAGGGUAUGGCUGUUCGCCAUUUAAAGUGGUACGCGAGCUGGGUUUAGAACGUCGUGAGACAGUUCGGUCCCUAUCUGCCGUGGGCGCUGGAGAACUGAGGGGGGCUGCUCCUAGUACGAGAGGACCGGAGUGGACGCAUCACUGGUGUUCGGGUUGUCAUGCCAAUGGCACUGCCCGGUAGCUAAAUGCGGAAGAGAUAAGUGCUGAAAGCAUCUAAGCACGAAACUUGCCCCGAGAUGAGUUCUCCCUGACUCCUUGAGAGUCCUGAAGGAACGUUGAAGACGACGACGUUGAUAGGCCGGGUGUGUAAGCGCAGCGAUGCGUUGAGCUAACCGGUACUAAUGAACCGUGAGGCUUAACCUUACAACGCCGAAG
RNAcentral lists this ribosomal RNA (2925 nucleotides) under Escherichia coli. RNAcentral describes it as "partial 23S ribosomal RNA". It matches the Rfam family "Bacterial large subunit ribosomal RNA". Lineage: Bacteria; Pseudomonadati; Pseudomonadota; Gammaproteobacteria; Enterobacterales; Enterobacteriaceae. The record is from RNAcentral.